UCUACCUUCAUUUCGCCUCCCCUGUUUGCAAAUAAAUGAAUUUGAAACCUUCAUUUUCAUCUACCUUUCAUCUUCUCCAUUUUCUAUGCUACGAUCCCAUCAUUUCGCCUCUCCUCCUCUUCAAAGGUUUUCAACUAUUCCUAACUACAAAACUGGUUAUGAGAAUAAUUCAUGCCAUUCUCUUUGAUGGAACUGUUGUCACAGAUGUUGAGAUGGUUGCUCGAAAUCAAAACUGAAUGGCCUUGGGCAAACAGGCUCCACGUUGAUGUCGUGAAAAGGUGCCAAGUACGGUGAAAGCAUGGUCACCAACAGCAAAGAGCAUGGGCACCAGCAUGGGAUGCACCUACUGUUAAGGCAGAUAAGGACCGUUGCAUGCGUAGCAAGGAGAUGAAGAUUGUUAAAAUAUUAUUAUAUUAUGAAAUUAAGGAAAAAAUAAUCAUAUAAUAUUUCAAAGAGAAUAACAAACAAUUUAAAAGAACAAAUACUAAAAUCAUAAGAUUUUUAAUAUGAAAGGUUAAAUAUAUUUUAUUAUUU
Long non-coding RNA from Hibiscus syriacus, 534 nucleotides. RefSeq lists it as uncharacterized. Lineage: Eukaryota; Viridiplantae; Streptophyta; Magnoliopsida; Malvales; Malvaceae. The transcript is spliced from 4 exons. The record is from RefSeq and is a predicted model, not a curated record.